Molecule: long non-coding RNA, 832 nt
Filed under: Marmota monax (woodchuck)
Lineage: Eukaryota; Metazoa; Chordata; Mammalia; Rodentia; Sciuridae
Source: RNAcentral
UUUAUAUGUGUUAACCAUUUAACUCUUGACAGCCCUACGAGAUAAAUUCUAUCUUUAUCUCCCUGCUUACACUGAGAACAUUGAGUUUGGGGAUGGUAAGUAACUUGCCUUAAGAUUAUAACUAGCAGGAGCCAGAAUUAAAACCCAGGUCAGUAGGAUUCCAGCCCAUGCUCCCAAACCACUCUAUAGUGCCAUCUGAAAAUCAGGAAAUGAGACUUCUGCUUCUGCUGAGAAUCCCUGUUUAUUCUCUUGCUCUUCCAAGCAGGUUACAGCCCACAUUAGCACUCUGCCUUUCUGAGCACUUUUAUAUCCAUAGCUUCUUCUGAAAAAUGUUGCUUUUGAAAAGGUAUUGUGAUAAGUACUUAAUGAAGACUUUUUUUUUUUGGUUGGGGGGUGGAUACCAGGGAUUGAGCCCAGGGCUCAAUCACUGAGCUGCAUCCCUAGCCCUUUUUAUUUUUUAUUUUAAGACAGGGUCUUGCUAAUUUGCUUAGGGCCUUGCUAAGUUGGCUAGGGCCUUGCUAAGUUGGUUAGGGCCUUGCUAAGUUGCUGAGGCUGGCCUUGAACUUGAGAAACUCUUGCCUUGGCCUCCCUAGUUUCUGGGAUUACAGGCAUGCACCACUGCGCCCACCUCUGAUGAAAACUUUGAAAGAUCUUUUUGAUCCUUAGACCAACCCUUUGGCGGGAUGUUUCCUCAGGUGAAUGGGUGGGGAAACUGAGGCUCACCAACCUUAAGAUUGUUGACUGCUUCUGAAAGCCUUCUAAAAAUGUCUACAAGCUUAAAGCUUCUUAAGAUACUUAAGCAGCCACUUUCAGGACAUUUUCAAAAUCACAC